RNAcentral lists this long non-coding RNA (1236 nucleotides) under Mus musculus (house mouse). RNAcentral's name for it is "long non-coding RNA chr7:67647478-67648714". The record is from RNAcentral. Lineage: Eukaryota; Metazoa; Chordata; Mammalia; Rodentia; Muridae.
GGGUUUUUUUUAGGACGAAACUGCUCUGUUUAGACUUGUCUGUGGUUAUCAGGCUGUAGAAUCCUUAACUUGAUACAGAGGGAGCCAAAUUGGCAACUCAGAUUUUCAAGAGAACUGUGAAAAGGAAAAGGACUCUCUCUCCAUGGGACCGCUAAACUCACAAAGGAUUUUACGACAAAGUUGCAGAUACUGAGCCUUAAGGAAACUUUCCAGGUGUUUUGUUUUGCUAGUUUUAAAGGAACGUCCAAAGAAAACCAGAGGAAACACCUGGUGCUGAGCGUGGCUGGAGGGAGAGGCAUCAGAGCUCUUUUGUCUUUAGAAUGAAGGUGGAAAUGCAAUUCCCAGGUUAUCAGUGGAAUUUUGUAAGGUAAGUAAAAUUAAUUGUGGAUCAUAUUUUGCGUCAAAAAAAGUUGUGCUUUGCCGUUAUUUGUUGCUUUAAUGUGGAUUUAGACAUUUCAUAUUUUUGGUUUUUUUAAUCAAAUGGAUAGUUGGGUCUGUGCAUUGUAACAGACCUAAUAUGCAAGCCAUCUGCUUAGAGAAGAAAAAUUACAGUUGACUUUGAACUCAAAUUGGGCAAAUAUUUGUAAAGUUGAAAAUUAAGGAGUGGAUUUGCCUAUGACCAAGCAAAACCUAAUUUUGUGUAUGCUAUAUCAGAAUCAGCAAGUGGAUAAAUUCUCCCAAAAAGAAAUCCAGUAUUCAUGUUCUCAGAGGUACUUUAAUUAAUAUUAAAAUAUAAAGUUCGGGAAUAUAUUAGAACUGUUUCUUAUAUUGUCACACUUAAUUUGCCUAUGAGGACAUAAAACAGUAAAACUCCAGAAGUUCACACCAAGGCUCUGGACAAACGGGGCUCAGAGACUUUCAAUGAAAGAGUCUACAUAUUUCUUCUUUUUUAAGAUUUUAUUAUCAUUAUAUGUAAGUACACUGUAGCUGUCUUCAGACACCCCAGAGGAAAGAAUCGGAUCCCCAUUACAGAUGGCCGUGAGCCACCAUGUGGUUGCUGAGAUUUGAACUCAGGACCUCCAGAAGAACAGUCAGUGCUCUUAACCACUGAGCCAUCUCUCAACCUGUGAUGCUUCGUGCAUCAGGAGCUCAGAGCCCUUGGAUUUGCAGUAGGCACAGGAGAGGGAAGUAACACUCUACAAGGCUGCUGCGGCCUUGACAGAGCUGCCUCUGAUUGCAGCAAGAGGUUCAUUGAAAACCAUGGUUAAAAAGAUAAUAAUGCUUUAUUUAAAUAAC